Macadamia integrifolia is the source of this 5164-nucleotide RNA transcript. It is a transcript of the gene named sister chromatid cohesion protein PDS5 homolog A, with no coding region annotated. NCBI's taxonomy places the organism in Eukaryota, Viridiplantae, Streptophyta, Magnoliopsida, Proteales, Proteaceae. The record is from RefSeq and is a predicted model, not a curated record. The transcript is spliced from 32 exons.
UUUCCGUGAGAGAGAGAGAGAGCGAGAGAAAAGAGAGAUCGCGGUGAAAUUCCCGCCUGGUUCUGACUCGCACAUGUAGUUUUGGCACGUGAGAUAAGUCCGCCUUCUUCAGUUCUUCUCUCUAUUGAUGUUCAACUUUUCAACCCUCUUUCGUUAGUGAGCGAUCGUCGAUUGCUUCGCACCAAAACAGCAAAAGCCAUCGCCGGCAUUCGCAAGCCCAGAGUUAAUUAGAAGAAAUCGGAUUCCGUUUCUCGCCAUGGCUUGGCCUGCAGAGAAGAUCGUGUCUGAUAUUGGCAAGAGUCUUGCCAAACAGACUCGCCCAAACAAAGAUUCUUUGUUGAAAUUGCUCAGACAAGCUGCUAGUGCUUUAUCAGAAUUAAGUCAGUCUCCAUCACUACAGCGGGUAAUAGAGCCAUUAAGCGAUUCACUUAUUCGGCAUAAUCUGCUUCAGCAUAAAGAUAAGGAUGUCAGACUUAUGGUAGCGAUCUGCUUCAGUGAAAUCAUUCGAGUCCUGGCACCUGAUCCACCUUUCAGUGAUGAAAUAUUAAGGGAUGUCUUUAAGCUUUUUGUCAGUAUGUUUGCAGAGCUUUCUGAUACGGAAAGCCCAUACUUUACAAGGAGAGUGAGAAUAUUGGAGACGGUUGCUGCACUGAAAUGUUGUGUGCUGAUGCUGGAUAUUGGUUGUGAUGAUCUAGUUUUGGAGAUGUUCAAAGUUUUUUUCUCGGUUGUAAGAGAGCACCAUCAACCGACAUUAUUUCAGGCUGUUUUGUCCAUAAUGAGGCUUAUUCUGGAGGAGAAACCUUCUCAACCACUUUUGGAUGUUACAUUGCUAAAUCUUCUAAAGGAGGAAAAGGCUGCACCUCUUGCUUCUUUUAGGCUCGCUGUUUCUGUCAUUCAACAUUGCUCAGAGAAGCUUGGACCCUUGAUUCAGCAAUUUUUAACAUCUUGUAUUUUGGACAGAGAUACCAUGGGGAGUGAGCUUAAAGAAUUUUACCAUGAAAUCAUUUUUGAAAUUUUCCAGUGUGCUCCUCAGAUGGUUUUGCCUGUCAUCCCAACCUUGACACAAGAACUACUAACAGAUCAGGUUGAUGUUCGUAUAAAAGCUGUUAAUUUGGUAGGAAAAUUUUUUGCACUGCCAGAACACCACGUCACACAAGAAUCCCGCCGCCAACUCUUUCUAGAGUUUUUAAAAAGAUUCUCUGACAAGUCUGCGGAAGUUAGAGUUAGUGCCCUACAAUGUGCUAAAGCUUGCUACUUGGCGAAUCCCUCUGGUGCAGAAGCACAUGAAGUUCUUACUGCCCUAGAAGGGAGACUACUAGAUUUUGAUGAUAAAGUAAGAACACAGGCUGUUUUUACUGUCUGUGAUCUGGCCAGUUCAAAUCCGAAAUUUCUUCCAUCUGAGCUAAUACUGCGGGCUGCAGACCGACUUCGAGACAAGAAGGUACCUGUCAGAAAGGCUGCCAUGCAGAAGUUGCUAGAACUUUAUCGGAGUUACUGUAUUAAGUGCUCUGAAGGCAUCAUAGCACGUAAUGACCACCUUGAACAGAUCCCAUGUAGAAUUUUAAUGCUCUGCUAUGAUAAAGAUUGUAAGGACUUCAGGCCCCAAAACAUGGAGGUUGUGCUUGCAGAGGAUCUGUUUCCACCUGCUCUUUCUGUUGAAGAGAGGACAUCACACUGGAUAUCUUCAUUCUCAUUUUUUUCACCUCUUCAUGUAAAGGCAUUGAAUUCAAUUUUAACCCAGAAAAGAAGAUUGCAGACGGAGAUGCUAGUUUAUUUGUCUAUCCGAAAAACAGAGAAGGAGAAUGUGUCAGAAGAGGUGGAGAAAAGAAUGAAAACUUCAUUUGUGAAAAUGUCCACAUCCUUUGCUGAUCCUUCCAAAGCAGAGGAGUUCUUCCAAAAGUUGCACAAGAUAAAAGAUAAUAGUAUAUUCAAUGCAUUGCACCAACUAUUGGAUGCAAGGGCUUAUAUAAAUGCCAAGUCCACUAGAGAUAAGUUUCUCAACAAGAUUGGAGAGAAGCAUUUGCAUUAUGAAUUUUUGAGAGUACUUUCUGGAAAAUGCAUGUUUAAUAUAUUUAGCUCCGAGCAUGUAUGCUGUAUUUUAGACCACCUUCUAAAAAAAGAUAUUGGAGAUCAGCAAUUUGAGGCUUCUUCUGUUAAAGUUCUUCUGACUAUUAUAAAUGCUUUCCCAUCCCUACUGAGAGGAUCAGAAGAGCUGUUCCAGAGGUUGUUGGAAGAAGAUGGCCCUUUCAAUGAAAAACUGCUUCAGAUCUUAGCAAAGGCUGGUCCUCAUGUUUCUAUCAGACUCAGUGAUAUUUAUCCUUUCCUCGAGAGGGUAUGCUUGGAGGGAACUCGUGUGCUGUCAAAAGCUGCUGUCUCUGCAAUUGCUGCAUUAACUAGUGCUUCUGAUAAUUGUGUUUUCUCGGAAUUAUGCAAGAAACUUGUGGAUUUUCUUCAUUCUGGGAAAAAUAUUGCAACUGUCCUGCAAUCUUUGGGCUGUAUUGCACAAUAUUCUGUAUCAGCAUUUGAGACCAUGGAUAAAGAUAUUGUACAGUAUAUAGUUGAGAAAUUUUUUCAUGAUUCCAAUCUGCAGUCAUUAGAUUACAUGCAUUCAUUAGACGAGGAUUCUGGGUGCAGCACCUCUUGCAAACUUAAGGUUUAUGGGCUUAAAACACUUGUCAAGUGCUUUUUGCCACAUCAAGGAACUCUUGCCAGACAUCAAAUUGGAGAAUUAUUGGACAUUCUGUUACAGAUGCUACAGGAGGGUGGCAUUGCAGAUGGUACCAUACCAAGUGAAAAUGACAAGGCUCACAUCAGAUUAGCUGCAGCAAAGUCUCUUCUUAAGCUUGCUAAAAGAUGGGAUUUUCAUAUUUCACCGCAGAUUUUUCACUUGGCAGUUCUGAAGGCUAGGGAUCCUUCAUCUCGUGUACGUAGACUUUUUCUAGAUAAAGUACAUAAGCUUUUGAAAGAACAUGCUAUUCCUAGCAGAUAUGCCUGUGCUUUUGCUCUAGCUGGUUCAGAUUGCCUUGAAAAUUCCUUGAAAUAUAUGGCUGAGUUUGUUAAAGAGUACAGUAUGGAGGCUCGAGUCCGCCAGACUUCUAAGCAGGAUCAAGAAGGAGAAACAAUGACGAGUUAUCCAGAAUAUGUUUUGGUGUUCUUAAUCCAUGUUCUUGCUCAUAAUUUGGAUUUCCCUUCUGUUAACUGUCAAAAUGAGGAAAUUUACGCUCAAUUUUGCAGCCCACUUGUUGUCAUGUUGCAGACAUUAAUCAAUGUCAGCUUUAUUGAUGGCAGUAAGAAUUUUGUAAAUGAUACUGUGUCUUAUAUACAAACUAUUUUUCAAGUGGUUAAGAAGGCUGAGGAUGCUGUGGAUAUUUCUAUAACUCCUAAGCUGCAUAUUCUAGCUGACAUCGGUAUGCUUAUCACUAAAGCAUUGAGUCGUAAGACUCGUACCAGCGUGCAUCCAUCACAUACUCAUGGACAUAUUUUUCUGCCUUCAUCAUUCUACAAAACUAGCUCUGGUAUUAAUAGUUGGGAGAUUAACUCAAACUGUCUUACUGGAUGCAAUUUGGAUGAAAACUUCAUUGAAAGGCUCCUCCAUAUUUUUGAAUCCCACAUUGAACAGCCUCCUAGUUCACUUGCUAAACAAGGUAGAAAUUUUCAAGGAGAUAAUCUGCGAGAAGAAGAUAUGAAGCACAAUGCAGUGAACUUGAUGUCAUAUGAGCAAGCUGAUUCAUUAAGAAGCAGGGCAAAGAAGGUAAAAAAGAACACUUCUCAUGGAAUCGAAUCCCGUAAAAUAAUGAGGCCACAAGUUAGUACUGGGACAAAAAGUAAACAGGCACUUUCUGCUGCUGCUUCUAAAUCUGUGAUGAAUAAUGAGACUUCUGUUGUGAAUGAGAAUAGAAAAGUAUCACAUGGAAACGGGGAACUGAAUCUGGCACAGGAUCAGCUUUUACCUUCUUGUAGCUCUGCAACUGCAUCACAUUUCUCAACCCAGGUGGUGGAUUAUGUAAAGUGUAGUUCUUUUGAAAAAAAUGACGGGGAAAUGACUAAUGUUAAUGUCAUUGCUGAUUCUUUCGAUUUCCUGGAGACUAACUUAGAAAGAAAUCCCACCUCUGAGGAGGAUGGAGGUAGGGAUGAGGAGCUAGUUGGACAGCGUAUCAAAUUAUGGUCUCCAUUUGAUAAAUGUUUCUAUUCAGGCACGGUCAGUGGGUUUGACUCUCAGAACAAUAGUCAUAAGAUUACCUAUGACAGCGGAGAGGUUGAACUACUAUGCCUAUCAAGUGAGAGUUGGGAAACUAUUAGCAGUGCAUCACUUUCUGAUAAGGAGGCACACAAGUUUCCUUCGCGACACUGUGACCUACGAAUAGAGUCCUCUUCUGGUGCUUCUGGGGAAGUUAUUAACGCUUUUGGAGAUAGAGCUGCCAAGGAGCAGACAACUUUAAAAAAUAAGGGGAAGGAAAUUGCUGAUAAUGAAAUAUCACUACAUUCUAAAAUAGUUCCUGCAUAUCUUAUGGACAAUUUGCUUACCAUAAGGAGCAGGGAAGGGGAAGAAAGGACGGAAAAUUCCAGUUUCUGCAGACACAUCUGUUUCAGAAGUCAUUGAUGUACAGGAUGCUAUUGCUCGGAGGACACGUAGGCGGAAAGUUUGAGUGGUUCUGCUCCAUUCAGUAGUGCUUUCUGUUUUUCAAGAGGAAAUCUUCGGGGCCAUGUGCAGAAUGUUGCUGCAGUGAUUUAACUACCAAGUCUACACUAAUCUGCAAGUCAUUUGAAUGGAGUGUUGAAGACCAUUUUGACUCUGUUGCCUAAAUUUCUGUUCUGGUUGAGUCACCAUGCUCAGAUUUGACUGUCCAAGGAAAAAAUGCAGGAAGUAUACUCAACCAGAAGCAUUGAAGAAUCUAAGUGGAGCCUGUACAUGGACAAUAAAGUUGAAUUAGGCCAUUAAAAUUGAAAUUCUAUCCAGGUCAACCUGUCAAAUUAUUAGUCCUUGUUAAUAGAAAGCCUUUGGCAUGGAAUGAUGGAAUCUCUUCCCUGAUAAUACACUGGCUUCGGUGAUGAAGGCUUGGCCUUCAAGGACAGCCUGGGCUCCUAACCUUAAAAGGGGCUGAAACAACUAUGUAGUGGUUCUUAGAAAUCAAUAUAUCUAUGUUUUAACAUAGGGUGUACUUUC